GUGAGAAUAUGGUUCACCUAACACCAUCCAAUGUUGUGACUUGAUGGUAUUGAUGUUGACACAAUAAGGUCUUCCCACGUUUUUGGCAGAGGCAUGGUCUUUCCUUCUUAUGUAGACUUACCCUCUACCAUUUUAAGAAGAGCAGCUCUCGGUUUUUUUUCUCCCAGCAGAAAGUGAGCUCUCGUUUUUUAGCAAAGGGUGGUGGUUCUUCAUUGGUUUUCCCCUCUCUCUUGGAAGGUAAUUAGCAAGUCAUGGAAGGCUGUUCCUGAGCCUGAAAAACAGCCAUUAGAAGGGCAGAAAGCUGCUGCAAGGAAGGAGAAAAUCUGUCCAAAUUUUCGUCCGAACACAGGUUGUAUUUUUCCAUCCCCUUUUUUCAUUGUUUUGCCUUGAAUCUUGUCUAUUGGUUGAUGUUUUGGUUGAUU
This 422-nucleotide long non-coding RNA is filed under the name Olea europaea (common olive). RNAcentral's name for it is "long non-coding RNA (OEUR_LNC013241)". Lineage: Eukaryota; Viridiplantae; Streptophyta; Magnoliopsida; Lamiales; Oleaceae. The record is from RNAcentral.